AGAGUUUGAUCCUGGCUCAGAUUGAACGCUGGCGGCAUGCCUUACACAUGCAAGUCGAACGGCAGCACGGGUGCUUGCACCUGGUGGCGAGUGGCGAACGGGUGAGUAAUGUAUCGGAACGUACCAUUCAGUGGGGGAUAACUAUCCGAAAGGAUAGCUAAUACCGCAUAUUCUGUGAGCAGGAAAGCAGGGGAUCGCAAGACCUUGCGCUGAUUGAGCGGCCGAUAUCAGAUUAGCUAGUUGGUGGGGUAAAAGCCUACCAAGGCGACGAUCUGUAGCGGGUCUGAGAGGAUGAUCCGCCACACUGGAACUGAGACACGGUCCAGACUCCUACGGGAGGCAGCAGUGGGGAAUUUUGGACAAUGGGCGAAAGCCUGAUCCAGCCAUGCCGCGUGAGUGAAGAAGGCCUUCGGGUUGUAAAGCUCUUUCGGCCGGGAAGAAAUCGCAUAGGUUAAUACCCUGUGUGGAUGACGGUACCGGAAUAAGAAGCACCGGCUAACUACGUGCCAGCAGCCGCGGUAAUACGUANGGUGCGAGCGUUAAUCGGAAUUACUGGGCGUAAAGCGUGCGCAGGCGGUUUUUUAAGACAGGCGUGAAAUCCCCGGGCUUAACCUGGGAACUGCGCUUGUGACUGGAAGGCUANAGUACNGCANANGGGGGUGGAAUUNCACCUGUANCANUGAAAUGCNUA
RNAcentral lists this ribosomal RNA (691 nucleotides) under uncultured beta proteobacterium. RNAcentral describes it as "bacterial SSU rRNA". It matches the Rfam family "Bacterial small subunit ribosomal RNA", at positions 8 to 692 of the family's 1533-position model. Lineage: Bacteria; Pseudomonadati; Pseudomonadota; Betaproteobacteria. The record is from RNAcentral.